AUUGAACGCUGGCGGCAUGCCUUACACAUGCAAGUCGAACGGCAGCACGGGGGCAACCCUGGUGGCGAGUGGCGAACGGGUGAGUAAUACAUCGGAACGUGUCCUGUCGUGGGGAUAACCAGUCGAAAGACUGGCUAAUACCGCAUGAGAUCGAGAGAUGAAAGCAGGGGACCGCAAGGCCUUGCGCGAUUGGAGCGGCCGAUGUCGGAUUAGCUAGUUGGCGGGGUAAAAGCCCACCAAGGCGACGAUCCGUAGCUGGUUUGAGAGAACGACCAGCCACACUGGGACUGAGACACGGCCCAGACUCCUACGGGAGGCAGCAGUGGGGAAUUUUGGACAAUGGGGGGCAACCCUGAUCCAGCCAUGCCGCGUGUGUGAAGAAGGCCU
This 387-nucleotide ribosomal RNA is filed under the name uncultured bacterium. Its description in RNAcentral is "bacterial SSU rRNA". It matches the Rfam family "Bacterial small subunit ribosomal RNA", at positions 29 to 417 of the family's 1533-position model. The record is from RNAcentral.